This 497-nucleotide ribosomal RNA is filed under the name uncultured bacterium. RNAcentral's name for it is "partial 16S ribosomal RNA". It matches the Rfam family "Bacterial small subunit ribosomal RNA", at positions 28 to 507 of the family's 1533-position model. The record is from RNAcentral.
GAUGAACGCUGGCGGCGUGCCUAAUACAUGCAAGUCGAGCGAACAGACGAGGAGCUUGCUCCUCUAACGUUAGCGGCGGACGGGUGAGUAACACGUGGAUAACCUACCUAUAAGACUGGGAUAACUUCGGGAAACCGGAGCUAAUACCGGAUAAUAUAUUGAACCGCAUGGUUCAAUAGUGAAAGACGGUUUUGCUGUCACUUAUAGAUGGAUCCGCGCCGCAUUAGCUAGUUGGUAAGGUAACAGCUUACCAAGGCAACGAGGCGUAGCCGACCUGAGAGGGUGAUCGGCCACACUGGAACUGAGACACGGUCCAGACUCCUACGGGAGACAGCAGUAGGGAAUCUUCCGCAAUGGGCGAAAGCCUGACGGAGCAACGCCGCGUGAGUGAUGAAGGUCUUCGGAUCGUAAAACUCUGUUAUUAGGGAAGAACAAAUGUGUAAGUAACUAUGCACGUCUUGACGGUACCUAAUCAGAAAGCCACGGCUAACUACGUG